This 443-nucleotide long non-coding RNA is filed under the name Sarcophilus harrisii (Tasmanian devil). Its description in RNAcentral is "lncRNA (ENSSHAG00000030620.1)". Lineage: Eukaryota; Metazoa; Chordata; Mammalia; Dasyuromorphia; Dasyuridae. The record is from RNAcentral.
AGAAUGUAGCUCUGAGGGGGCCACUAUUGCCUGAGACCUUCAACAAAGUUAUACCUUUUUCUCCCCAGAGAGUUACCUCCCACCCAGGAGCAGUCUGCACCUGAACCUCCACCUGUAACAACUCAGAAGGAGAGGACUCCACCUCCCAAGGCUUCACCAGGCUACAUUAUCAGGGGCGUGUUCACCAAGCCUGUCGAUAGCACAUCUCUGCCACAGACUCAAUUCCCACCUGCGGAAACUUCCAAAAGUUCUAUAAUUCCAGGGAAAUCUGCCAGUAGCAAACUGCCCCGACACAUGGUCUCUGGUUAUAAAGUCAUUCCUGAUGAAUACAACAAGAAGAUAGCUGAAGCUGCCUCCGGCCAGCUUCCACGAGCUGCCACCUGGGGGCGCUCCUAUGUGCUGUCUGCUGCCAAGAAGAACUCAGAGUGAGUACAUGUCCCAGG